RNAcentral lists this ribosomal RNA (420 nucleotides) under uncultured Nitrososphaerota archaeon. RNAcentral's name for it is "bacterial SSU rRNA". It matches the Rfam family "Archaeal small subunit ribosomal RNA", at positions 459 to 879 of the family's 1478-position model. Lineage: Archaea; Thermoproteati; Nitrososphaerota. The record is from RNAcentral.
CAGCCGCCGCGGUAACACCAGCCCCUCGAGUGGUGGGGAUGAUUAUUUGGCCUAAAGCGUCCGUAGCUUGCCGGAAAAGUUUCCCGUUAAAUCCGACGUCUCAAGCGUUGGACCGCGGGAAAUACUAUCUGGCUAGAGAGUGGGAGAGGUUAGCGGUAUUCUGGGGGUAGGGGCGAAAUCCUUUGAUCCCCGGAGGACCACCAGUGGCGAAGGCUGCUGACUAGAACACGUCUGACGGUCAGGGACGAAAGCUGGGGUAGCGAACCGGAUUAGAUACCCGGGUAGUCCCAGCCGUAAACGAUGCAUGCUAGGUGUUGGGUUGGCCACGAGCCACCCCAGUGCCGCAGGGAAGCCGUUAAGCAUGCUGCCUGGGAAGUACGAUCGCAAGGUUGAAACUUAAAGGAAUUGGCGGGGGAGCAC